Molecule: ribosomal RNA, 468 nt
Filed under: uncultured bacterium
Lineage: Bacteria
Description: partial 16S ribosomal RNA
Rfam family: Bacterial small subunit ribosomal RNA
Source: RNAcentral
GACGAACGCUGGCGGCGUGCUUAACACAUGCAAGUCGAACGGAAAGGCCCUGCUUUUGUGGGGUGCUCGAGUGGCGAACGGGUAAGUAACACGUGAGUAACCUGCCCUUGACUUUGGGAUAACUUCGGGAAACUGGGGCUAAUACCGGAUAGGAGCUCCUGCUGCAUGGUGGGGGUUGGAAAGUUUCGGCGGUUGGGGGUGGACUCGCGGCUUAUCAGCUUGUUGGUGGGGUAGUGGCUUACCAAGGCUUUGACGGGUAGCCGGCCUGAGAGGGUGACCGGCCACAUUGGGACUGAGAUACGGCCCAGACUCCUACGGGAGGCAGCAGUGGGGAAUAUUGCACAAUGGGCGGAAGCCUGAUGCAGCAACGCCGCGUGCGGGAUGACGGCCUUCGGGUUGUAUACCGCUUUCGCCUGUGACGAAGCGUGAGUGACGGUAAUGGGUAAAGAAGCACCGGCUAACUACGUG